GAUGAACGCUAGCGGCAGGCUUAAUACAUGCAAGUCGUGGGGCAGCAGGUUUGUAGCAAUACAGAUGCUGGCGACCGGCAAACGGGUGCGGAACACGUACAGAACCUUCCUUUGAGCGGGGAAUAGCCCAGAGAAAUUUGGAUUAAUACCCCAUAGUAUAAUGAAGUGGCAUCACUUUAUUAUUAAAGAUUUAUCACUCGAAGAUGGCUGUGCGGCUGAUUAGGUAGUUGGCGGGGUAAAGGCCCACCAAGCCUGCGAUCAGUAACUGGUGUGAGAGCACGACCAGUCACACGGGCACUGAGACACGGGCCCGACUCCUACGGGAGGCAGCAGUAAGGAAUAUUGGUCAAUGGAGGCAACUCUGAACCAGCCAUGCCGCGUGGAGGAUGAAGGUCCUCUGGAUUGUAAACUUCUUUGACAGGGGACGAAACAAAUGACGGUACCCUGAAAACAAGCCACGGCUAACUACGUGCCAGCAGCCGCGGUAAA
RNAcentral lists this ribosomal RNA (489 nucleotides) under uncultured bacterium. RNAcentral's name for it is "bacterial SSU rRNA". It matches the Rfam family "Bacterial small subunit ribosomal RNA", at positions 28 to 524 of the family's 1533-position model. The record is from RNAcentral.